Molecule: ribosomal RNA, 492 nt
Filed under: uncultured bacterium
Lineage: Bacteria
Description: partial 16S ribosomal RNA
Rfam family: Bacterial small subunit ribosomal RNA
Source: RNAcentral
AGUGAACGCUGGCGGUAGGCCUAACACAUGCAAGUCGAACGGCAGCACAGUAAGAGCUUGCUCUUACGGGUGGCGAGUGGCGGACGGGUGAGGAAUACAUCGGAAUCUACUUUUUCGUGGGGGAUAACGUAGGGAAACUUACGCUAAUACCGCAUACGACCUACGGGUGAAAGCAGGGGAUCUUCGGACCUUGCGCGAUUGAAUGAGCCGAUGUCGGAUUAGCUAGUUGGCGGGGUAAAGGCCCACCAAGGCGACGAUCCGUAGCUGGUCUGAGAGGAUGGUCCGCCACCCUGGAACUUGGACACGGUCCAGACUCCUACGGGAGGCAGCAGUGGGGAAUAUUGGACAAUGGGCGCAAGCCUGAUCCAGCCAUACCGCGUGGGUGAAGAAGGCCUUCGGGUUGUAAAGCCCUUUUGUUGGGAAAGAAAAGCAGCAGGUUAAUACCCCGCUGUUCUGACGGUACCCAAAGAAUAAGCACCGGCUAACUUCGUG